UUCAUUAUUGCUCCUCUCAUUCCUCCAUUUCUUCAUUCCUAACCUUGAUGCUCGAACAUUGUAGUAUCCCUUCCGUAAGGCCUAGAGCUUCACACAUUACCGUUUGCACUCAAACACACCAUAUGGCAGUAUUUAACAUAAAUUCCCAUUCUCAAAUCAUAACUUCAUCUAGCUCGUCAACAAUUUCCCUUUGUAUUCC
Molecule: long non-coding RNA, 199 nt
Filed under: Gossypium barbadense (sea-island cotton)
Lineage: Eukaryota; Viridiplantae; Streptophyta; Magnoliopsida; Malvales; Malvaceae
Description: long non-coding RNA (GBAR_LNC003221)
Source: RNAcentral